GACGAACGCUGGCGGCGGGCCUAAUACAUGCAAGUAGGACGCAGUUGCGAACGGGAGAGUAACGCGUAGGUAACUACCUAUUAGAGGGGGAUAACUAUUGGAAACGAUAGCGAAUACCGCAUACUAGUAGAUGGACCUGCGUUGUAUUAGCUAGUAGGUAGGGUAAUGGCCUACCUAGGCAACGGUACACAGCCGACCUUGUAGGGCGAUCGGCCCCACUGGGACUGGGACACGGCCCCGACUCCCUCGGGGGGGCGCAGUAGGGAAUCUUCGGCAAUGGGGUGAACCCUGACCGAGCAACGCCGCCUGAAUGAAUAAAGUUUUCGGAUCGUUAAGCUCUGUUGUUAAGGAAGCGUUACUUAACCAGGAAGCGACGGCUAACUACGUGCCAGCAGCCGCGGUAAUUC
RNAcentral lists this ribosomal RNA (407 nucleotides) under uncultured bacterium. Its description in RNAcentral is "partial 16S ribosomal RNA". It matches the Rfam family "Bacterial small subunit ribosomal RNA", at positions 28 to 526 of the family's 1533-position model. The record is from RNAcentral.